Molecule: non-coding RNA, 135 nt
Organism: Laticauda laticaudata (blue-ringed sea krait)
Lineage: Eukaryota; Metazoa; Chordata; Lepidosauria; Squamata; Elapidae
Product: small Cajal body-specific RNA 11
Source: Ensembl
CAGUCCAGCUUUCAAUUUGUGCUCCUCCUGCCAAAACUGUGGCAGAGAGCUUGGGGAUGGACGUAAAUAAAACACUCUUAUCUUAGGAGGACUUCUUCAAGUGUUGAACUGUCCUCAAAGGCACAAGAGAACAUC